Molecule: non-coding RNA, 855 nt
Organism: Pelobates cultripes (western spadefoot toad)
Lineage: Eukaryota; Metazoa; Chordata; Amphibia; Anura; Pelobatidae
Source: the annotation of a GenBank genome assembly
AGGACCUCCAGGGUUGCCGAAAUCCCCAUUGGAAAGUAUCGGAUAAUGCUUUCCUAUGUGGAGGGCUAGUGCGCGGCCAUUGCUGCACAUGCGCAUAAGGUCUCCCCCACCGGCUGACGGGCAGUAGGCAGAGCCUAACCCAGUAAGUCACUGAAAGGGUUUUAACCCCUUCAGCAACUUGGGAUGGGGUGGGGAGGUGGCACAAAUGUUUUCCUGGCACUGGAGAGUCCCUUUAAGCCGCUCAGCUAUAGAGCAGAGGUAGGCAGUUGCUGUACAAAUGCCAUGAUGUUUUGUCAGCUGUGGAUGGAUUAUUUACUCAUCCUUGCAGGGUACUAUUUGUAUGCAGCAUCUGUGAAUAUAGACAUGUUUUUAUCGUGUAUACUUGUGGGAAUGUUUAUGUAUCUGUGUACAAUGCUGAUGCUUGAAUGUGAGGUUUCUGUUUCUGGGUAGUGUUGACAUUUAAAUGCAUGGGUGUAUGUGUGUAGUGUUGCUGUUUGAAGUUUUUUUAGGUAGUAUUUUAUUUUUCAAGUGUAUGAAUGCAUUGUGUUUGUAAUGUUUGUGUGUAUAUUUGUGAGUAGUAUUUGUGUACAGAGUUGGCGUUUAAAUGCGUGAUAUGGGUGUUUUGCAUGCAAAUGUGUAUUAACAAAUCCACACACAGAUGCCCACAGACCUAUUUAUACAUCGAUACACUCUGAGAGAUUCAAACACACACAAACAGGUUUAAUUGACACACGUCUACUGAUGCAUACACUGACACACAUACACACCUACAUUCUCUAUCAGUCCAGCCAUGUUAUAUAUUCCAUGGUGGUCCAAUGUUGCUGUUAUUGAUUCCCUUGUGGUCCAGCGCUGCCG